GAACUAGCUUGCAUUUGUAAAAUAUGUUCAUCCACAUGCCUUGGCGCUUGGAAUGGUCCAGUCUAGACGUUGCCAUCACUGAUCAAGCUCAUUUUCAAGGAUCACCCAGAAUUCAAGUUUUACGGGGAGUGUCCUGCCUUUCCUCACAAGUGUGUGCACCAAAUGUUUGAUAAAAUGCCAAGCGGGAGAUAAAAGAAGGGACAAGACGGAAGACAUUGCAUAUGCACACCAAGGUAUGAGCGACUCAGAACAUGCGUCUUGAAUUGCCUCUUCUUUUUCCUUUUUUUGGGUAUGGUGUGUUCAUUCAGUAGACCAGUGCUGGUAAAAGUAGCUUUCUCAUCCUCAUGGGAUCCAAGUCAACUCCACCUAACUCGUGUUCUUAUUCGUAUAGACGCUUUGAAUAUCUAUUGGUGUGACCCUGUUUUUAGGGUUUCAUGUCAUUGGUGAUUGAGGAUUGAGUCUGAUAACUUCCUUAUAUUUUAGUACCUCAGUUAUAAUUAAUGUCCUUUUUUCAAUUUUUGAUUUGUUGUUGUCCCACUCAGUCUUGGUCUAGUUCUGUAAACUGUACAAGGGCAAGAACUUUCUUGGAGACUAACGCCGAAGUAUUUAUUAGGAAGCUUGAUAGAGAAACCUCUUGAUAGCAUAUUCAAUGAUGAUCUAUUCUCCUAAAGCACACAAAAAUUAAAAGAAGAGAAGUACUAAAUUUCACGCAAGUAACCUCAAUGACUUGUUCUGAACCAAUUUAGAUGAAUUUUGCCCCAAUUUCCAAGGAAGAAAUGGUUUAUUGGACAUUUCAAUAAUGUCAUCAAGCAAAGGCAUUUGGUUCCCUGACAAUCAACCGAAAAGAUGUAAACAGUUGAUUUUGUAUGUUUUGGCCAAGAAAAAAUGUCCAUCUAGUACCUUCCUGCAAAAUGCUAAUGGCAGUGGAAACUGUUGAUUGACAGAAAUUGUGGAGAGACUUGUAGGUGAAAGGUGAAAGUGGUAUCCCGGGCUGUGGAGGUGUAAAGCGGUUGAGGAACUGGCUUGUUGCUUAGAUGGGACAGAUACGGAUUUGUGGAGAUUGGGUUCCUUGUACAAGCUUGGAGGUUGUUCGGAUUGCCGAUUGUGCUGAUCGGGUUUCCUCUAUCAAUUAACAUAUAGAUUUACGUAUAUGAAUUGUAUGAACAAGUUAUGUGUAUGCAAUCUUGACCAUUUUGUGCUUGAGAUGACUUAAUAGGGUAAUGCCACAAAAUUCAGUUUGUACAGUGAAAUUCAUGAAAUAUCUGAGCUCAUUAGCUUGUUCAUUGCCUUACUUUAGUUGAAAAAUUCUUCUACUUCCUA
Molecule: long non-coding RNA, 1320 nt
Organism: Eucalyptus grandis
Lineage: Eukaryota; Viridiplantae; Streptophyta; Magnoliopsida; Myrtales; Myrtaceae
Exons: 2
Source: RefSeq, a predicted model, not a curated record